This 253-nucleotide ribosomal RNA is filed under the name uncultured bacterium. Its description in RNAcentral is "partial 16S ribosomal RNA". It matches the Rfam family "Bacterial small subunit ribosomal RNA", at positions 524 to 776 of the family's 1533-position model. The record is from RNAcentral.
UACGUAGGGUGCGAGCGUUAAUCGGAAUUACUGGGCGUAAAGCGUGCGUAGGUGGUGAGUUAAGUCUGUCGUGAAAGCCCCGGGCUCAACCUGGGAAUGGCGAUGGAUACUGGCUCGCUAGAGUUCGGAAGAGGCGAGUGGAAUUCCCGGUGUAGCGGUGAAAUGCGCAGAUAUCGGGAGGAACACCUAUGGCGAAGGCAGCUCGCUGGGACGUUACUGACGCUGAGACGCGAAAGCGUGGGGAGCAAACAGG